GAUCCAGUGGUGUAACAGUAACACACCUGUAUCAUUUAGUCCACCUCCGAAAGGUAAGCAGGAGUUCUCUGUUCAAUUCAGGGCUGGGUCA
Mycena rebaudengoi is the source of this 91-nucleotide non-coding RNA. Lineage: Eukaryota; Fungi; Basidiomycota; Agaricomycetes; Agaricales; Mycenaceae. The record is from the annotation of a GenBank genome assembly.